Molecule: ribosomal RNA, 505 nt
Filed under: uncultured bacterium
Lineage: Bacteria
Description: partial 16S ribosomal RNA
Rfam family: Bacterial small subunit ribosomal RNA
Source: RNAcentral
GACGAACGCUGGCGGCGUGCCUAAUACAUGCAAGUAGAACGCACAGUUUAUACCGUAGCUUGCUACACCAUAAACUGUGAGUUGCGAACGGGUGAGUAACGCGUAGGUAACCUGCCUGGUAGCGGGGGAUAACUAUUGGAAACGAUAGCUAAUACCGCAUAAUAUUAAUUAUUGCAUGAUAAUUGAUUGAAAGAUGCAAUUGCAUCACUACCAGAUGGACCUGCGUUGUAUUAGCUAGUAGGUGAGGUAACGGCUCACCUAGGCGACGAUACAUAGCCGACCUGAGAGGGUGAUCGGCCACACUGGGACUGAGACACGGCCCAGACUCCUACGGGAGGCAGCAGUAGGGAAUCUUCGGCAAUGGACGAAAGUCUGACCGAGCAACGCCGCGUGAGUGAAGAAGGUUUUCGGAUCGUAAAGCUCUGUUGUAAGAGAAGAACGGGUGUGAGAGUGGAAAGUUCACACUGUGGCGGUAUCUUACCAGAAAGGGACGGCUAACUACGUG